This 1012-nucleotide small RNA is filed under the name Pongo abelii (Sumatran orangutan). Its description in RNAcentral is "processed transcript". Lineage: Eukaryota; Metazoa; Chordata; Mammalia; Primates; Hominidae. The record is from RNAcentral.
UGUUUACCCGAUAAGGAAGGUCAGCAUUCAAAGUCAAGAAGCGCCUCUUAUCGUCCCCUGCGCUCUACAAAUAGUUCCGUGAGAAAGAUGGCCGGGAACUCGAUCCUGCUGGCUGCUGUCUCUAUCCUCUCGGCCUGUCAGCAAAACAAAACUGUGUGGAGUUUUAUCCUAUAUUCAUAAUUACAUUGUGGAUGGCUGGGUGGUAUUUCAACCAAGUUUUUGCUACUUGUCUGGGUCUGGUGUACAUAUAUGGCCGUCACCUAUACUUCUGGGGAUAUUCAGAAGCUGCUAAAAAACGGAUCACUGGUUUCCGAUUGAGUCUGGGGAUUUUGGCCUUGUUGACCCUCCUAGGUGCCCUGGGAAUUGCAAACAGCUUUCUGGAUGAAUAUCUGGACCUCAAUAUUGCCAAGAAACUGAGGCGGCAAUUCUAACUUUUUCUCUACCCUUUAAUGCUUGCAAAAGUUGUUCCCACCACGAAGGCUUGAAGCCACAGUGCAUGGCCAGAACCAGCCAGACCUUUGGAGUUCAAGAACUCGAGAGGUGGGUGAAAACCGCCAUUGCCUCCACAGACUGUCUUCUCCAUGGAAAGAAGACCUGAGUCACCAGGGCUGGGAAACCUGCACCAAUGAGACGAGCACAGCCUCUGCCGGCAUGCAAGUGGCCGCUGUCAGGACACAUGGACUGAAAGUGGUUUGUCAGCUGCUCCAUUAGGUUUUUUUUACCCAUAUGUUUGCUACCUUUCUUUCCUUGAUUUAAAAAUAGGGAGGGGGAGCAGUCUCAGCUGUCUUCAGCUGCUAGGGAGAUUUUUUUCCCCUCCUGAGCUACUGUUUCCCCCAACCUGAGCCUUUCUCUCUUUUUGUACCCACCCUUUCUGAUGAAGUCAUCAAAGCAAAGAUUGCAUAACUGAUGCAUAGGCCUAUCUUGUGUUAUACUGGGAGACAGGCCAAUGUUUCCAUUAAUAGACAAGAGCACCACCACGCUGCCAAAUGGAGCUCUCUGCUGCAACCACUAC